GGGAAGCCAUCCAGAGGGACGUGGGCAGGCUGGAGAAGUGGGCCCAUGAUAAGCUAAUGAGGUUCAACAAGGCCAAGUGCAAGGCAUUGCACUUGGGUCAGGGCAGUCCCAGGUAUUUAUUUAUACAAACUGGGGGAAGAUCUCCUUGAGAGCAGCCCUGCAAAGAAGGAAUUGGGAGUCCUGGUGGGGAAGAAGCUGGACAAGAGCCAGCAGUGUGCACUUGCAGCACCGAAGGCCAACUGUGUUCUGAGCUGCAUUAGAAAAGGGGUGGCUCCCUCUACUCAGCUCUUGUGAGGCCUCAUCUGGAGUACUGAGUCCUGCCUCAGUACAGGAAGGACAUGGAGCUCUUAGAGCAGGUCCAGAGAAGGGUCACUAAGAUGAUCAGAGGGCUGGAGCACCUCUCCUGUGAAGAAAAGUUGAGGGAACUGGGCUUGCUUAGCUUGGAGAAGGGAAGGCUCCAGGGAGACCUCAUUGUAGCCUUUCAAUACUUGAACGGAGCUUAUAAACAGGAGGGGGAAUGGUUGUUCACAAGGUUGGAUAGUGAUAAGACAAGGGGGAACGGUUUUAAACUGAGACAGGGAGGUUUAGGUUAGAUACUAGGAGGAAGUUUUUCACUCAGAGGGUGAUGACACACUGGAACAGGUUGCCCAAGGAGGUUGUGGAUGCCCCAUGCCUGGAGGCAUUCAAGGCCAGGCUGGAUGUGGCUCUGGGCAACCUGGUCUAGUGGUUAGCAACCCUGCAUUCAGCAGGGGGUUGAAUCUAGAUAAUCAUUAUGGUCUUUUUCAACACAAGCCAUUCUAUUAUUCUAUGAUUCACUGAAGCUGAAAAGGGAAUUUUUAGAACAGCCAUUUAGAGAUUCCUUUUGCUAAACUAAUAUAUUGGUUCUUAAACUAAUGCACCAGUCCUUAUUGCUAAAGAAACAACCUAUAUCAGAUGCAUACAGUGAGUAACACUUAAAGAGCAAAAUCUUGCUGACACUGAACUUAGCUGAAUUUGUCAGCUAAGUAUUCCAUCAUGAUACAACAUUGCUCACACUGUUGAAAGGCAUAAAACAUUUAUGUAAUUAUAUUCAGAUAAGACUUAAUAUUCCCUAGGCACUUAACAAAGUGCACACAUGCAGCCUCAUCUCCUCACCAUCACUGCCUGUACUCCCG
Gallus gallus (chicken) is the source of this 1154-nucleotide long non-coding RNA. Lineage: Eukaryota; Metazoa; Chordata; Aves; Galliformes; Phasianidae. The record is from Ensembl.